RNAcentral lists this long non-coding RNA (229 nucleotides) under Lathyrus oleraceus (garden pea). RNAcentral describes it as "Pisum sativum (pea) long non-coding RNA (PSAT_LNC021720)". Lineage: Eukaryota; Viridiplantae; Streptophyta; Magnoliopsida; Fabales; Fabaceae. The record is from RNAcentral.
UAAGUCGAAAACCCGCAAGGGCGGCUUAGGCAAAAAUGGGUAUCCCGGUGGAUUGAAAACCCGAAAGGGCGAUCCAGCCAAAAGAGGGAUUAAAGAGAAGGCUACAGUCUGAGUCAUCUGUACUUCAUCACGCUUCGUCAGCUGCCAUCCCAAAGGAUGUGAUCGGUCCAGUCAGUCUUCUCAGAAAGCAAGGAGUUGGGAGGAACACUGAUGAUCUAUGAGUUAUAAC